Molecule: ribosomal RNA, 534 nt
Filed under: Triticum aestivum (bread wheat)
Lineage: Eukaryota; Viridiplantae; Streptophyta; Magnoliopsida; Poales; Poaceae
Description: partial small subunit ribosomal RNA
Source: RNAcentral
AUGAAACUCCAGCGAGGCCAUGAGCUCCCGAUUCCCAACCCGGGCGUAGGAGCGUACGGGAGCGCCGUCGUGGAUCCUGCGCGUCCUAGGUCCGCCGAGGCCACGGGCUCCCAAGCCGGGCAUAGAGAAGAUAGAACAAAUGAGUAUGGAGAUCCAGCUGUUGAAGACGCCGAGGGACAAGAACAUUCAGGAGUUGUUCACCUAAUGGGUUGUCCUGAUGGAACAGUGAAGAUCGGCGACUAUAUGGUCUGGCGACAUUAUUGCAUCAAUGGAAAAAGCAAAGUGUCAAAGCCUCUUCUGUCAAUCCAGCAGCACACCGCUGCCCUUCGCAUCCUCCCUGCAUCACUGCAACUGGGCCGUGCUCACAUCGUCUGCGGUCACAUGCGCAAUCUCUGCGCUCGACGCUGCCUCCACCGAGAUUCAUUGCAAGGGUGCCUGAAACGCCCACUGCUGGGUACAUGCAUACAACAAUUAUGCCAUGUCUUCCCUAUUCGAUCGGUCGCACAUGUAUGUUUCUUUUCCUUCUUUGUUUAG